ACUUUUCGCGGCAUUUGAACUAUUCGCUAAGCAAAACAUCUUUUGGCAAGCCAAGCGUCCAUAGCGACGUUGCUUUUUGAUCCUUCGAUGUUGGUUCUUCCCUAUCGUUGCGAAGCAGACUUUGCCAAGCGUUGGAUUGUUCACCACCAAUAAGAAAUGUAAGUUUGGUUUAGAUCGUCGUCAGACAGGUUAGUUUUACUAACGGUAAGCCGUGAUAUAUUGUUGCGAUAAUAAUCCUGUUCAGUACGAGAGGAACCGCAGGUUCAGACAUUUAGUUCAUGUGCUUGGCCGAUCAGCCAAUGCUACGAAGGAAUUUGAGGAAUUACGACUAAACGUCUCUAAGUUAGAAUCGCACGUAGACAAGGUAAUGACAAAUUUGCUCCCCGAUGUCCGGAAGCACUAUUCUGUAAUUAACGAUUUAUUCGUUUUAUUAUAGUUAAUGCCUCAUUAUAUGGUCUUGCUACUUAAUCGAAUGGUUAAGUGGUUGCCAAAACCGGAUUACAAUUCAAGGUGCAAAAUCACUUGCAGGCGAUUUGAUUAUUGGUCAAGGUUGUUAUUAGCAGUACAGCAACCUUCAUAUUGUGAUCUGUUGAGACUUAUCCUUUGAUUGGACGAUUU
This 618-nucleotide non-coding RNA is filed under the name Onchocerca ochengi. Its description in RNAcentral is "Eukaryotic large subunit ribosomal RNA". It matches the Rfam family "Eukaryotic large subunit ribosomal RNA", at positions 2793 to 3399 of the family's 3401-position model. The record is from Rfam by way of RNAcentral. Lineage: Eukaryota; Metazoa; Nematoda; Chromadorea; Rhabditida; Onchocercidae.